Molecule: long non-coding RNA, 513 nt
Filed under: Homo sapiens (human)
Lineage: Eukaryota; Metazoa; Chordata; Mammalia; Primates; Hominidae
Description: HSALNT0331255
Source: RNAcentral
GGGAAUGCCAGUGAGGUUGCUACUACAAUAACCUAGGCAAGAGAUGGUGGCUCCCAAAGACACGGGAAGGAGCAGCUCUGGGGUUGGAAGAUAAAAUUUGGGGUCUGACAGCUACAUUGGAGAAGCCUAUUAGCCAUUCGAGUGAACUGUGGAAGAGGCAACUGGAUGUAUACAGGUCCGGAGUCUCGGGGAAGAUCAGAGCUGGGAGCUGGCACUUGGAACUCAACAAAUAGUAUGUAUUAUUAGCAGUAAUAUGGAACCUUAGCUGUACUACUACUUACUAGUAGCGAGCUCUUGAGUUAACCAUUUUUAGGUUCUGGGCCUCAGUUUCCCUGUGAAUGAAAUGGCGAAAACACUCCCACAUAACGGGACCUUGAGAACGAAAUGAAAAGUAUCAAGGGCUGACCGUGAGCAAGGUGAGAGCCAUGAGCCAAAACCACACGAGCCUCUCCGGGAGGGGGGGGUCACUGCUGCGGAAUCAGCGACAGGUUUCCGAAUCCACGGCACACGCUC